Molecule: RNA transcript, 1376 nt
Organism: Scylla paramamosain (green mud crab)
Lineage: Eukaryota; Metazoa; Arthropoda; Malacostraca; Decapoda; Portunidae
Exons: 7
Source: RefSeq, a predicted model, not a curated record
GGAUGUGUGCAAGCAGCAGCAAGCAGGAGGGGGUGUGCGGCAGCCUGGUCACCAAUUGUCCCACGUUGUGCUGCCAGUGCGAUGUAACCUUCCAUCCUUCGUGAACGUUUUAAGGCAGCGGGGCGUAACAAAAAGAAGGCGCCAUAUUCGACCAGGAUUCCAGGGUGAUCCAGAGCGCCUUCCUGCACGCCAUCCAGCACUACAGUCAAAACACCGCGGGCAGGAGGCUUCAGCUUCACGCCUUUGUGGGCAUCAUCAGUAUGGCGGAUGCCUUCAAGAUCUCCAGACUGAGUGGUAACACGGAGAGCAAGUGGAAGAAACCUUGGGAGACUUCCAUGACUCAGGAACAAGCACACCUCACUGGGAGCCUUGUGACUGACAGGUGGUUCAGACCGACUGGGAGACAUGACGUCAGUGCCACCACGCAGGGAGUAAAACCAAGAGGAGGAAGAGGAGCAUUCAAGAGACAUCAGCUGGUCAGCUGUCCAUUCAGUUUCACAACAGGAAGUGAAGGAUGAAGCAUGAAGGUUUUAGGCCAAAAUGAACUGAUAGCAAUCAGAAAUGACACGUCCAGCAAAACCAGCAACACAGCAACACACACACACACCCAGGCUUCCAAGUUGAUAAUCCAAAAGCCAGCAGAUGACAGCUUCCUUCCAGCACACACUUGUAUCGCCCAACUUGACCUGCCUGAAUACAAGCUGAUACAGUCCAUGCAGCAGGGAGUGCAGCCUCUACAAGUGGUGGAGGGCAUGGACACUUGGAUAUGGAUGACACUGGUUUGGGUGCCAAAUAUUAAUAGUGCACCUACACAAUUACCACACUCGCUCCUCUCACCAGGGCUUAACUAUAAAUAAUUAAAGGUAAAUAACAUGUCAUCUAUUAUCUAUUGUAUUCUAUAUUGCUGUUAAUGUUUCAUGUAUAAUGUCUUUGCUUUCAAAUGCAAGUCAAAAGGGUGAACCCCCAUUUAUACGAGUAGUAGUACUAUUCACGUUUGGCAAAUUUCACUUUUGACAUUGGUUUGGCUACACUAAUUAAACUGCUAACAGUGAGGGACUACUGUAAAUGUAGUAAUAAUUAUAAUAAUAAUAAUAAUAAUAAUAAUAAUAAUAAAAAGUAAUGAUAAAGUGCAAGACAUGUUCAUUAACACAAUUAUUUUCUCCAACAUGGAGGAGUGAGUGAGGAGGGCACAUCUGUCUGUGAUUAGGGAAUGCAAAUGACGAUGUUCCAAGGACGUCACCCUGUCCUGGGCCAUGACAUGAGAGAGAAGAGGAAAAAAGGACUCUCUCUCUCUCUCUCUCUCUCUCUCUCUCUCUCUCUCUCUCUCUCUCUCUCUCUCUCUCUCUCUCUCUCUCUCUCUCUCUCUCUCUCUCUCU